This 29-nucleotide small RNA is filed under the name Bombyx mori (domestic silkworm). RNAcentral describes it as "ovarian small RNA-18551". Lineage: Eukaryota; Metazoa; Arthropoda; Insecta; Lepidoptera; Bombycidae. The record is from RNAcentral.
UAACAAUGUAUUGACCUGCACUAUCACGC